AGUGAUUCUUGGUCAUUUAGAGGAAGUAAAAGUCGUAACAAGGUUUCCGUAGGUGAACCUGCGGAAGGAUCAUUAUCGAGGAAGGGUCUUCUAGGCCCGAUCUCCAACCCUUGUGGCUAAAAUACCAUGUUGCUUUGGCUGGCCCGCCCCCUGUGGGCCGCGGGGGAUCAUUGAUCCCUAGCCUGUGCCUGCCAAUAGCCUUCUAAAACUCUUCUAAAUAGUGUUGUCUGAGGAUAGAUUAAAUUAUUAAAACUUUCAACAACGGAUCUCUUGGUUCUGGCAUCGAUGAAGAACGCAGCGAAAUGUGAUAAGUAAUGCGAAUUGCAGAAUUCAGUGAGUCAUCGAAUCUUUGAACGCAUAUUGCGCCCUUUAGUAUUCUGAAGGGCAUGCCUGUCCGAGCGUCAUUAUCAACCAUCAAGCUUGGCUUGCUGUUGGACCCUGUGCAUGCUGGUAGUCGGCAAUAGCAGGUCUUCAAGGUAGUGGCGGUGUCGUGGUGGACCCCGGAUACAACGAGCUCUUUAUAGCACGUAUCAAGGUGGCCCCCGGUCCAGCCUCACUGGAAUCUCAUAUCUAAAGGUUGACCUCGGAUCAGGUAGGAGUACCCGCUGAACUUAAGCAUAUCAAUAAGCGGAGGA
This 635-nucleotide ribosomal RNA is filed under the name leotiomyceta sp. 2 RB-2011. RNAcentral describes it as "eukaryotic LSU rRNA". The stretch from base 251 to 404 matches the Rfam family "5.8S ribosomal RNA". The record is from RNAcentral. Lineage: Eukaryota; Fungi; Ascomycota.